CGUGGCAGCAGCCAAAGAUGACCUGUUUGGUUCUAGAAGCAAAGCGUGGCACUCUUCAGGAUCUCCCUAACACGACAUGCCGAAGAUCAAUGUUUGCCGGCUUCUGGAAUGACGGGCCGAGAGCACCUUGCCCACACCUUCUCCGGGAAGCACAGCGGUGGAGCAGUUAGGAGAUGAGCUCUGCAAUCUGUACCCACCCAGGUUCAAAUCCCUGUGUGGGCCCUGGGGCUGGCUGCCUCACUUCUGCAAGCCUUGCUUUUGGAAGGACAUUAAUAAGGCCCGUCUCCUGGGUUUCUGGCAGGAUUAUGCAAGAAAAUGCUUGAAGAUGCUCUGUACCUGAUAAGUCCUUGACUCCUCCUGGGGAGAUCUACAGGGAGAGAAGUCUAUGGAAUACUGACACGAUCCUUUUAGGGUGUGUCUCCCUCAGUGACCAGUUCCUGGAGAACAAGAGCUGUGUCUCAUCCACGCGCCUCCCGAGUGCAUGGCAUACAGCAGGUGUUCCCUACGUGUGUGCUGAAUUGAACAGGACCAGGGGAGGGAGAAGGCAAGCUGUGUCCUAUGGAACCUGCCUCAGCGUCCAAUGUUUGUGAAUGUAACUUGCUUUGCCCUGGACGGCAACAAAGGAUCUCAUACACAACACCGCACUACGGCCACCACCAUUGUGACAUCACCCAGACCCACAGUAACACACUAGACCUGACCUACAAAGGAACGUCUGUGCCGGUCCCCUCAUAUUACUUCUCUUUCCCCAGCCUCCGAUGCCUUUUCCUGAUUUCUUUCGUACAUUUUUUAGAACCAUAUAAAAAAAAAAGUACUGCUCCCACAACCAUCACUCUCUGAUAUCAAUUUAAAAUCAUGGUGUGGUGGGGCUCCUGGGUGGCUCAGUUGGCUGAAUGGCCACUUCUUGAUUUCGGCUCAGGACGUGAUC
Lynx canadensis (Canada lynx) is the source of this 928-nucleotide long non-coding RNA. RefSeq lists it as uncharacterized. The transcript is spliced from 3 exons. Lineage: Eukaryota; Metazoa; Chordata; Mammalia; Carnivora; Felidae. The record is from RefSeq and is a predicted model, not a curated record.